Stomoxys calcitrans (stable fly) is the source of this 1164-nucleotide long non-coding RNA. RefSeq lists it as uncharacterized. The transcript has 2 exons. The record is from RefSeq and is a predicted model, not a curated record. Lineage: Eukaryota; Metazoa; Arthropoda; Insecta; Diptera; Muscidae.
UUUUUUAUUUUAAGUCGUAUUCUUUGCUUUUUUGUUUUGAAAAAUUUGUCAUCAUCUUUCUCCACGAUGCAUGUUGUUCUUGUUGUAACCACAUUUGUAUGUGGAGUUGGCGAUUCUCGUCCAGCUCCAUAUGUGUGCACAAUCGUUCCGGACCAAAGGAACGAUCGCCGCGGAAACGUUUUGGCCAUUGGUUAUUUAAAGGCGCCAAUAACUCGCCUCGUCAUAUCGAUUAUCGUGGGCUCUCAGUUGAGCUUUUCGUAAUGACGAUGAACACUACACAAAUCGAAACUGAGAUUUCCAACCCGUGUAGUGCACACAGACCUCCCGUGCCGGAUUUUGUAGAACAGUACGUUGUUGGCAAGGGGACUGGGCAACCCUGAAAUGACAAGCAUGUGAAAUUUUUGCUGCUCCGGAGAAAAUUGUUUGAAAUUUAAUUAAAAUUAAAAAAGUAAAAAUCGAGUAAUUGCCUGAUUGCAUUGUAACCUGCUGAUCGCUUGCCUAUUGUUUAUUUGCAUGCUUUUAUGUGACAGAAGUGCAUUAUUAACUGACUGGAUUUGAGUGAGUUGAGCUCCUUAUAAGUAUAUUUGAGAAAUGUAUUUGCUGCCUUUGAGUAUAUUGCUGUUUGGUUGCUCCUUCACCUUUUGAUACUCACUGCCCUGUUGCUGCUGGUGUCUUAUUUGUACAGAGCUGAGUUGUAUUGCUGUCAAUAUGGCGCCCAAGAGAAGAACAUAUAAAUGCCCAAAACGCACCAUGAAUGUUACUGGAAAUAGUAUUGGGUACAGUGUUUGUGGAGAUUUUUUCCACAUAGCAUGUCUUAAGUGCACCAAGUGUUAAUUGCCUUCGUUGGAUGUUGAUAUUGUUGCCAAUGAUCUUAGCAGUACGACUACUGCUGCAGUGACGGAUAAACGCGUAAUGAGCUGGAAACCUGCUGCUCUUAAUUGAGAAAUUCUGGAGAUGCAAACCAACGAAAGUUUCGCGUUGAAUAGCUGGAACAAGUAAAUGUUUUUCAAACUAAAAUAAGCGGAUAAGGAGGUUCGAGAUGAGUUUAACUAAGUGAAUUGGAGGAUGAGCUCAAGAAUAAUCACGAUAUAAUCAAACAUUUAGAGACUAAUCGUAGUAAUGAGACUCGUAAUUUACAAAUUAAAUUAUAUAUAAGGCAGAGAA